This 813-nucleotide long non-coding RNA is filed under the name Fukomys damarensis (Damara mole-rat). RNAcentral's name for it is "lncRNA (ENSFDAG00000027326.1)". The record is from RNAcentral. Lineage: Eukaryota; Metazoa; Chordata; Mammalia; Rodentia; Bathyergidae.
GGUCGCCCGCGCUGUCUACACCGCCCUCCGCCCCCCGGGGGGGGAGCAGAAGGGCACAGGGUCGGGGGUCGGAGACUGAGGGAUCAGACGGGGACCAGGGACCUGGGUCUGAGACUGAGGGAUCAGAGAUGGGGCCCCAGGUGAGGACCCAGACGAGGAACAGAGGCUGGGUCCAGAGGCCAGCGCUCCGAGGUCUGACCCUGGUGUCUCCAAGGCACCGAGUCCCUGGGUCUUGAGAGCGGCACGAAGUCCCUGUCCCCGGCAGAGCGGACCCCAGGGCUCUGGAUCCUCGGAGCCUGAGGUGGGCGCCAGGCCCUGCCGAGCACCCCUGACCUUAGGAAAGACGUGGCGAUGGGGAUUUGCCCCGAGCAGCGGCAGUCUGAAGGUUUCCUAGUGCCAUUCUCCUUGGUGCCUCUGCCUAGGUGAAUAGCAGCGGUGUCCUGUCUGUGGGCCUGAUUUACUUCUCUGCUUUGGAGAUGAUAUCUUGCUGCGCUGCCUCAAACUUCUGGAUCCCAGGGAUCCUCCCGCCUCAGCCUUCUGAGUAGCUGGGACUGACAGAGUGGAUCACUGCUCCCAGCUUUAUUUACUUUUUAAUACAACGACAGAAUGAUCCCAGAAAGCAAAACAAAAGUGACAAUGCCUGAUAAUCCAGCUAAAGAACUCUGAGCCACUUCCUCCGCCAUCUGUGCUCGUCCUGUGGACCAGCUGAGACCAUGAACAGGUGCUACACAAAGGCCGCCGGGAAGCUGGCUCCCUCCUGCCUCUGACCUCCCAUGGGCCAGAGGUAUUUACCUUCCUGACAUCCCAAGAAAC